This 340-nucleotide ribosomal RNA is filed under the name uncultured bacterium. Its description in RNAcentral is "bacterial SSU rRNA". It matches the Rfam family "Bacterial small subunit ribosomal RNA", at positions 29 to 395 of the family's 1533-position model. The record is from RNAcentral.
AGCGAACGCUGGCGGCAGGCCUAAAACAUGCAAGUCGAACGCCGUAGCAAUACGGGAGUGGCAGACGGGUGAGUAACACGUGGGAACGUACCCUUUGGUUCGGAACAACACAGGGAAACUUGUGCUAAUACCGGAUAAGCCCUUACGGGGAAAGAUUUAUCGCCAGAGGAUCGGCCCGCGUCUGAUUAGCUUGUUGGUGAGGUAACGGCUCACCAAGGCUACGAUCAGUAGCUGGUCUGAGAGGAUGAUCAGCCACACUGGGACUGAGACACGGCCCAGACUCCUACGGGAGGCAGCAGUUAGGAAUCUUGGACAAUGGGCGCAAGCCUGAUCCAGCCAU